This 450-nucleotide ribosomal RNA is filed under the name uncultured bacterium. RNAcentral's name for it is "partial 16S ribosomal RNA". It matches the Rfam family "Bacterial small subunit ribosomal RNA", at positions 354 to 796 of the family's 1533-position model. The record is from RNAcentral.
GUGGGGAAUAUUGGACAAUGGGCGAAAGCCUGAUCCAGCCAUGCCGCGUGUGUGAAGAAGGUCUUCGGAUUGUAAAGCACUUUAAGUUGGGAGGAAGGGCAGUAAGUUAAUACCUUGCUGUUUUGACGUUACCGACAGAAUAAGCACCGGCUAACUUCGUGCCAGCAGCCGCGGUAAUACGAAGGGUGCAAGCGUUAAUCGGAAUUACUGGGCGUAAAGCGCGCGUAGGUGGUUUUGUAAGUUGGAGGUGAAAUCCCCGGGCUCAACCUGGGAACUGCCUCCAAAACUACAUGACUAGAGUACGGUAGAGGGUAGUGGAAUUUCCUGUGUAGCGGUGAAAUGCGUAGAUAUAGGAAGGAACACCAGUGGCGAAGGCGACUACCUGGACUGAUACUGACACUGAGGUGCGAAAGCGUGGGGAGCAAACAGGAUUAGAUACCCUAGUAGUCC